Phoenix dactylifera (date palm) is the source of this 337-nucleotide non-coding RNA. Lineage: Eukaryota; Viridiplantae; Streptophyta; Magnoliopsida; Arecales; Arecaceae. The record is from RefSeq and is a predicted model, not a curated record.
AACAGAGAAGAAAGGAAUGAUGAUGGUGGUGAUCGUGGCACGGGGUUAGCAGUCUUCACUCAAAGUGCCCAAACAUUUGGGUUAAUCCGAAGGGGACCUGAUGUGCCGGUCAAUGAACUCGAGAUGGCUGAAUGGUUUGUCUUAUACAAUAGUUCAGAAGUGGAUCAAUAUCGAGAGGAACACAAGAACUACAUACAAGGUGAGAGUGAAGUUGACAUCACAAACAGACAACGUAAAGAAUUUCCCAAGUGGUUCAAAGAUCGCAUGACUCAACUUCGAAACCAGCGAUCACCGGAAGCUACUGAUGAAUUAUGGUCAUUGGCCAACGGUCCUCGUC